Molecule: non-coding RNA, 101 nt
Filed under: Commensalibacter intestini
Lineage: Bacteria; Pseudomonadati; Pseudomonadota; Alphaproteobacteria; Acetobacterales; Acetobacteraceae
Description: TPP sequence
Rfam family: TPP riboswitch aptamer (THI element)
About the family: Vitamin B(1) in its active form thiamin pyrophosphate (TPP) is an essential coenzyme that is synthesised by coupling of pyrimidine and thiazole moieties in bacteria. The previously detected thiamin-regulatory element, thi box was extended, resulting in a new, highly conserved RNA secondary structure, the THI element, which is widely distributed in eubacteria and also occurs in some archaea. Analysis of operon structures identified a large number of new candidate thiamin-regulated genes, mostly transporters, in various prokaryotic organisms.
Source: RNAcentral
UUGUUUUAACCGGGGUGUCUCUUUUUUCAAAAGAGGCUGAGAACAUACUCGUAGAACCUGAUCUGGAUCAUGCCAGCGAAGGGAGAGGGAUAGAUGACGAC